AUGCCUCUCCUUCCUCUUCGUCUCCACUGCCAGGGAAGGAGCAGCUCACAGAUGGUGCCUGCUUUUCCCAGCUCACCUCAGCCCACGGGCAGUGAGAUGCAGAAGAGAAAACCCACAAGAUUCUGUUUCUUGGGGUCCCCUCCUUUAUUAAAAAUGCUUGGGGAGAGGGACACAAAAAGUAUUUCUGGUUUCAUGUUCUCAGCAGCUCCAUUUGGCAACAGAGACGGAGCUGAAAACUCCUUUAGCAUUGCUGAAAGGAAACAGAAUCCAAAGAGAAAAAAUGUGCUCAGCAAAAGGUGCAGAGAGAUGUGGAUCUGCAGUGCUGUGGUCUGGGAGGAACAGAACCACCCCGGGCCCUGCUGCAGCCUCCUGUGCUCCCCAGUCCAUGAGGGACAGGAAAGGAGGGGCUGGAGCGAGAAAUCCCGCCCUUUUCUCCCCUCACGUUUCCCGCCCUUUUCUCCCCUCACAUUUUCCCGCCCUUUUCUCCCCUCACAUUUUCCCGCCCUUUUCUCCCCUCAUGCCGGCCGCCAUUUUGUCUGCAGCAGCAGAGCUGUCCCUGCCGGGGGGAAGAGUCCUUCGGGGUGGAUGUGCUGCCAGCAGGGCAGGCAGCCUGCGAGGGAUGCACAGGGAAUGUGUGCCCAGGGUCAAACUGCAAAAUUUCCCUGGAUGGGAGAAGCCCCUGGAGUGGAAAGGGACCGGGAGCAUCCUGCUGACCCCACGGACAGACCUCAGGUGUUAACACAGGGCUGGCUCCUGUGCUGCUCUGCAGGGCAGGACGAGCCCAUCCUGCAUCCAUCCCAGCUGCUGCUCCAUGGAAAUGUGUCCAGGAGAAGAGCAGCGAGGGGGGGAGCACCGAGGGGCUGCGGGAGAAGGGAGGAGGAUCCAGCCAGAGCCAAAAUGAGCCUCAUGUUUUCCAGGCAGAGGGGCUGGCAGCUGAGGACUCUCAUUUACACCCCAGGAGCUGCUGCAGACUGCAGUGGUGGCACGGCCGGGCACAGGGCAGGGAAUAUCGACCUGUGCAUCCUCCAAAGAUGGGAAGAGCAGAGGCUCAUCAAUCCCAGUCACCAAGGCAGGGAGAGUUAUUGCCUGGCUCACACAGACUCCCAAUUGCUUUGCCAGUUUGGCUCCAGCCCUCCAGUGAGUCAGAAUGCAGCCACUCCAUCACUCCUGAGCAGGGCUGGCAGUGCCAAAGCUCCAGCCCCAGAGAAGCCCAGCAGAGCCUCCCUGCUCCUGCAGGGCCAGGUCAGGCUGGCUGGGCUCCCUCUGCAGGCACUGGAGCAGGGGAUGAGUUCCUCCCAGGAGUCACUGACCCUUCUCUAA
Molecule: long non-coding RNA, 1320 nt
Filed under: Cyanistes caeruleus (blue tit)
Lineage: Eukaryota; Metazoa; Chordata; Aves; Passeriformes; Paridae
Description: lncRNA (ENSCCEG00000015324.1)
Source: RNAcentral